Varanus komodoensis (Komodo dragon) is the source of this 83-nucleotide long non-coding RNA. RefSeq lists it as uncharacterized. The record is from RefSeq and is a predicted model, not a curated record. NCBI's taxonomy places the organism in Eukaryota, Metazoa, Chordata, Lepidosauria, Squamata, Varanidae. The transcript has 3 exons.
GUCAUGGUUUUUGGCAAAAAAAAAAAAAGGUGAAUAAAUGGUUUGUAAAUGCAAAAGAGCUAGAGCAAAUAUUUUAUAGCCAC